RNAcentral lists this ribosomal RNA (1431 nucleotides) under uncultured organism. RNAcentral describes it as "16S ribosomal RNA". It matches the Rfam family "Bacterial small subunit ribosomal RNA". The record is from RNAcentral.
GGCGGCGUGCUUAACACAUGCAAGUCGAACGGAAAGGCCCUGCUUUUGUGGGGUGCUCGAGUGGCGAACGGGUGAGUAACACGUGAGUAACCUGCCCUUGACUUUGGGAUAACUUCAGGAAACUGGGGCUAAUACCGGAUAGGAGCUCCUGCUGCAUGGUGGGGGUUGGAAAGUUUCGGCGGUUGGGGAUGGACUCGCGGCUUAUCAGCUUGUUGGUGGGGUAGUGGCUUACCAAGGCUUUGACGGGUAGCCGGCCUGAGAGGGUGACCGGCCACAUUGGGACUGAGAUACGGCCCAGACUCCUACGGGAGGCAGCAGUGGGGAAUAUUGCACAAUGGGCGGAAGCCUGAUGCAGCAACGCCGCGUGCGGGAUGACGGCCUUCGGGUUGUAAACCGCUUUCGCCUGUGACGAAGCGUGAGUGACGGUAAUGGGUAAAGAAGCACCGGCUAACUACGUGCCAGCAGCCGCGGUGAUACGUAGGGUGCGAGCGUUGUCCGGAUUUAUUGGGCGUAAAGGGCUCGUAGGUGGUUGAUCGCGUCGGAAGUGUAAUCUUGGGGCUUAACCCUGAGCGUGCUUUCGAUACGGGUUGACUUGAGGAAGGUAGGGGAGAAUGGAAUUCCUGGUGGAGCGGUGGAAUGCGCAGAUAUCAGGAGGAACACCAGUGGCGAAGGCGGUUCUCUGGGCCUUUCCUGACGCUGAGGAGCGAAAGCGUGGGGAGCGAACAGGCUUAGAUACCCUGGUAGUCCACGCUGUAAACGGUGGGCACUAGGUGUGGGGUCCAUUCCACGGGUUCCGUGCCGUAGCUAACGCUUUAAGUACCCCGCCUGGGGAGUACGGCCGCAAGGCUAAAACUCAAAGGAAUUGACGGGGCCCCGCACAAGCGGCGGAGCAUGCGGAUUAAUUCGAUGCAACGCGUAGAACCUUACCUGGGUUUGACAUGGAUCGGGAGUGCUCAGAGAUGGGUGUGCCUCUUUUGGGGUCGGUUCACAGGUGGUGCAUGGCUGUCGUCAGCUCGUGUCGUGAGAUGUUGGGUUAAGUCCCGCAACGAGCGCAACCCUUGUUCACUGUUGCCAGCACGUUAUGGUGGGGACUCAGUGGAGACCGCCGGGGUCAACUCGGAGGAAGGUGGGGAUGACGUCAAGUCAUCAUGCCCCUUAUGUCCAGGGCUUCACGCAUGCUACAAUGGCUGGUACAGAGAGUGGCGAGCCUGUGAGGGUGAGCGAAUCUCGGAAAGCCGGUCUCAGUUCGGAUUGGGGUCUGCAACUCGACCUCAUGAAGUCGGAGUCGCUAGUAAUCGCAGAUCAGCAACGCUGCGGUGAAUACGUUCCCGGGGCUUGUACACACCGCCCGUCAAGUCAUGAAAGUUGGUAACACCCGAAGCCGGUGGCCUAACCGUUGUGGGGGAGCCGUCGAAGGUGGGACUGGUGAUU